CAGCAGCCGCGGUAAUACGUAGGGUGCAAGCGUUAAUCGGAAUUACUGGGCGUAAAGCGUGCGCAGGCGGUGGUUUAAGUCCGUUGUGAAAGCCCUGGGCUCAACCUGGGAAUUGCAGUGGAUACUGGGUCACUAGAGUGUGGUAGAGGAUAGUGGAAUUUCCGGUGUAGCAGUGAAAUGCGUAGAGAUCGGAAGGAACAUCUGUGGCGAAGGCGACUAUCUGGGCCAACACUGACACUGAGGCACGAAAGCGUGGGGAGCAAACAGGAUUAGAUACCCCAGUAGUCCCUGUCUCUUAUAC
Molecule: ribosomal RNA, 301 nt
Filed under: uncultured bacterium
Lineage: Bacteria
Description: partial 16S ribosomal RNA
Rfam family: Bacterial small subunit ribosomal RNA
Source: RNAcentral